RNAcentral lists this ribosomal RNA (253 nucleotides) under uncultured bacterium. Its description in RNAcentral is "partial 16S ribosomal RNA". It matches the Rfam family "Bacterial small subunit ribosomal RNA", at positions 524 to 776 of the family's 1533-position model. The record is from RNAcentral.
GACAGAGGCCCCGAGCGUUAAUCGGAAUUACUGGGCUUAAAGGGUGCGUAGGUGGACCAGCAAGUGCUUUGUGAAAGCCCCCGGCUCAACCGGGGAACAGCGGGGCAUACUGCUGGUCUUGAGGAAGGUAGGGGCCGCGAGAACUGUAGGUGGAGCGGUGAAAUGCGUAGAUAUCUACAGGAAUGCCGAUGGUGAAGACGCGCGGCUGGGCCUUUCCUGACACUGAGGCACGAAAGCGUGGGGAGCAAACAGG